Molecule: long non-coding RNA, 1671 nt
Filed under: Homo sapiens (human)
Lineage: Eukaryota; Metazoa; Chordata; Mammalia; Primates; Hominidae
Description: HSALNT0117378
Source: RNAcentral
GCAACGAAGCCCUUGAUUGGCGGCGGCUCCACAAACAUUUGCUGCUCAGGCUGGAGUCUAAGGGCUGAGGAUUCUCAGCCUCCCAGUCCAGGGCAGCAGCUGCCCAGAAGCCACCUCACGGCAGUGGACAUCUGUGCCCCCGUUUUGGAGACCUGGUGUGAUGAGGACACAUGGGCUGCAAUUAGCUGUUAGCAGGGCCGUCCAUGGACCACAGUCCCAGGAAGACGUUCUGCUCAGUUGCUCCGGAAGGGACCUAGGGUGCACUGCAAUUGCGGAGGGGUGGUUGCUGCUGAUCCCAGACCCCAGAGGGAGUUCCUGAGUUUUUAGCUUGAGUUGAGGAGCUGAUAAUGGAAGCUGCAGCAGCCCGUUCAUGGCAGUCCCAAAAGGAGGCAAACCACCUCCUCUCCGCUAAGGACAUCGGCCAAGUGCUGAGGCCAAAGGCCUGCAGAUGAACCCUAGUGUGAGAUGGACAGGCUGAGGCACAACACUAGUGCCAAACUGAGCCUUCGUUCUUUUCUUUAGCGAGACCUGGGAUUGAGCGUCACAAAGUCUAGAUUCUAUUUAUUCCACCGUCUCACAGUCUGGUAGCACAUGUCUGUGGGGAGCCCUCCUCACUCCUGUCUGAGCUUGGAAUCCUGGGACUAAGAAUAGCAGCGUGGCCCUGCUCUGCACAGGACUGGUGUGAGUGCCAGAAUGCUGAGUCUCAGGGCAUGUGGAUUGCACAUUCAUGGCAUGUGGAGGCCACGUGGGGUCUCAGACAGCACAGGUGAGGGAGCUCUGUGUCCACAGGGACCACGACAUUUUAUCACAAGGGGCACAGCACGCCAGCGUCCUCUCUCCCAGGAAGAGAGGCCCCAGGCUGUCUGCUGUUGGCUGAGAUGAUUGAGUCACUGGCCCUGCCGCACAGCUGGGGUCAGACACGGAGGCCAGGCUCUGCUCCAGGCUCUCUGGGGCCUUCUUGUCACCGGAUGCUGAGCAGAAGUGGGGUGACACAGAAUGCCCACACCCCACAAACUCCCUGGGAAGUCAGUGUCUCUGAAAGAUUCCAUCUGGGACAAACAGAAGCCAUCACUUGGUUAGAGUCCGCCCAUCACGGCUCUGCCUGGAAUGGAGACGGCCUGGACCCAGGUGUCAUCACUCUCUCUGCUCAUGGCCCCCAGAAUUUUGCAAAAUCUGUUUUAAAAGUUUCCUUGUAAAAGUGACCCGUCCUCCGUCAGGAGCCUGGGUCUCACUGGCCAUUUUAGGAGUGCAGCCUUCCCGAGCUCAGCAGAAUCCCUCCGUCACAGUGAGCACGGGUGGCACUGUCCUUCCCCUUCCUGGGUCCUCCCAGGCUGGCGACCCCUCGUGGCCUUGAUUCUACCCUUUCAAAAGUCCAGCUCCCACCGGCCCCUGCAAGGCGCGCUGCGGGGUCACCACAGGUCUGUCCAGGGCACGGUCAGGCCCAUGAGACCCCUUGUUCUAUAGGACGCUACUCUCCUUAAAAACAGGGACUUUGUCCCUCACUGAAUUGUAGUUUUCUGUAUCAUUCGUCAUUGCAGCUUUGAAGCAUCAAGAGUGUUUCCUAAAUAUGAUUAAAAUCUGGCCUUCAGACAGCUUUUGAAUUAACUGACAAAUGUAUGUUGGGCACGAAACGGAUUUAGGGACGUCUGCCCUGGGCUUUUACCAAACUCC